RNAcentral lists this long non-coding RNA (222 nucleotides) under Salvia miltiorrhiza (redroot sage). RNAcentral's name for it is "long non-coding RNA (SMIL_LNC012467)". The record is from RNAcentral. Lineage: Eukaryota; Viridiplantae; Streptophyta; Magnoliopsida; Lamiales; Lamiaceae.
UCGCGCGGCCGCAUGGCUGGGCCGCGCGAGCUCGCGCGGUCUCCUCGCGCGGCCGCGCGCCUGGCCCGCGCGGUCUUCCAGCGGGUUCUGCAUCCUCGCGCGGCCGUGGCAUGCGGCCGCAUGCCCGGACCGCGCGACUUCCCGGCGCCCGUCCUCGCGCACGGCCGCGUGUCCUCCGACACACGGACUUCCCGGCGCCCGUUCUUGCUCAUCCGAUGCCCG